AGUUUCAGCAAGUACUUCCGAUCACUCCCAGUCUUCGGGCCGGACAAGGGGAGGCGAGAGUCCGGGCGUACUUCCCUCACCGGGCAGCGGCGGCCUUUGCGCCGCCCGCCCGGCGCGGACGCCCAGCCUGUGCCGGAAUGGACAGAGAGACGCGCGUCUACGCCGAAAAUCAUUUCCGAGGCCUGCAGGGGCGGCCCCCAGGCGGCGCCUGCCCGCCCCCAGGCUGCGUGGACUUCAUCGAGAAUCCGGACUCGUUUUCCUACGCCGACUUCUUCAAGGGCUACCUGCUUCCCAACAUGCCGUGCGUCUUCUCCAGCUCCUUCACCGCCGGCUGGGGCAGCCGCAGGCACUGGGUGACGUCCAGCGGGAAGCCCAACUUCGAGCACCUGCUUCGGAAGUACGGAGACGUCGUUGUGCCUGUUGCCAACUGCGGGGUCCAGGAGUACAAUUCGAACCCCAAAGAACACAUGCCGCUCAGAGACUACAUCAGCUACUGGCAAGAGUACAUCCAGGGUGGCUAUUUCUCUCCUCGGGGCUGCCUCUAUCUCAAAGACUGGCACCUGUGCAGGGACUCAUCGGCGGAGGACGUCUUCACCUUGCCUGUGUACUUCUCAUCCGACUGGCUGAACGAGUACUGGGACUCUCUGGAUGUGGACGACUACCGCUUUGUCUACAUGGGGCCCACUGGCACCUGGUCACCAUUUCACGCCGACAUCUUCCGCUCCUUCAGCUGGUCUGUCAACAUUUGUGGGAGGAAAAAGUGGUUCUUCUUUCCUCCAGGGCAGGAAGAAGCCCUGCGGGAUUGCCAUGGUGGCCUGCCCUACGAUGUGACCUCCCCUGCACUCCUUGACCGCCGUCUGUACCCCACUCGUGAGCACUGCAGCCCCCCGCUGGAGGUCACGCAGGAGGCGGGCGAGAUGGUGUUUGUGCCCAGUGGCUGGCACCACCAAGUCCACAACCUGGAGGACACCAUCUCCAUCAACCACAACUGGGUCAAUGGCUGUAACCUGGCCAACAUGUGGCACUUCCUGCAGCAAGAGCUCUGUGCCGUGCAGCAGGAGGUCAGUGAGUGGAGGGACACCAUGCCUGACUGGCACCAUCAUUGCCAGGUCAUCAUGAGGGCUUGCUCUGGGAUCAACUUUGAAGAAUUUUACCGCUUCCUCAAGAUCAUCGCUGAGAGGAGGCUUCUCCUGCUGGCGAAGGGGAUGGGCCCUGAUGAAGUGGAGGGUGAGGGUGGCGAGGGCAGCGUGCUGGGCCCCCAGCAGGCUGCUUUCGACAUCGGCCGGAUUGCCGAGGUGCUGGCGUCCGUGGUGGCCCACCCAGACUUCCAGAAAGUGGACACUAGCAUGUUCUCGCCGCAGCCUGAGGAGCUUCUGAAGCAGCUAGAGGAGGUCGUGGUCACCACCACGACUCUUUAAUGCAUGCUGCGUGGAUCAGGUACCCCAUGACGUGACAGGAUUGUGGGGCACCAGCAUGGAGGCUCCCUCCAUAGCCACGGUGUGCCAUCAGAUACUCGCUCUGCAAACCCAUGACCACUGCAUGUGUGAUCGUUCAUCUGGCGUCCCUUGCAUGGUAAUUCUGGAUCUUCCAAACCAAGAAGUGCCACAUGUGACAAUUCUGGACCAUCCAAACCAAGAGAUGCCACAUGUGAGCAGCUUCUUGCUCCAUGUUGUUCUUUUUUUAAAGUUUAUUUAUUUUGAGAGUGUGAAAGAGAGGGAGAGAGAAUCCCAAGCAGCCUCCACACUGUCAGCACAGAGCCCAACAUGGGGUUCAGUCUAAUGAACCUUGAGAUUAUGACCUGAGCCAAAAACAAUCAGAUGCUUAACCAACUGAGCCACCCGGGUGGCUCAUGUUGGACGAUCUGCACACUCCUUGGGCCUGGCAGACGUGAGCCCUGCUGCGUGUGUAGGUGAUACUUGCAGCCACUGGGGAGGAGGGGAUAACUCAGAAUUGCCCCCUAAUUCACCUAGCUCUUGCUUCUGUAGGCUGUCUGUUGGGAUGCUACUGGAAGUCUGUGACGGGACACACAGGAAGUUAUGUAGGGCCUUGGAGGCUUUCUGGCAUGUCUGGUGUAGCCCUUCAGCCUCUGGUUUUGGGGAAGGAUAUGGGAGGGCACUCCAGUAAGCUCAGGGCAGUGUGUGUUUCCCACGGAUUGGAGGCAUUCUGGUAUUGGUAAGGGAGCGACUGUGGUGCCCAUGGAUGGUCAUUUCUGGUGACACCCCUCACCUGUCAGGCUACAUCUUUCAGCCUCCUCAUGGGAAAUGUUGGCACUCCUGUCACAUAACCAAGGCACAGGCCUUGACCAGAGUGACCAUAGUGUCCCCGUCUAGGGCAUUUCUGGAGUAAGCUAUUGUGCAAGGCAUUGUGGGGAUGCUUAUGGGAUGAGGCCCAGCUGUAGCUCUAAAUUCUGCAUCACAAACCUUUCCCCUGGACAAGAAGCCAGCAGGAAAAGGAAUUCUGAGGUCAGAGACCACCUCCCAGGAGGUGUUAUGUGUAGGUAAAGAGUGGACCAUGGGAGGUCCUUGGGGAGGCUUGCAGAGGCUAAGUCCUGCCUGCUCUCAGUACAUUUACUAAUAACCUUUCUCUGGCCUCAUCCUUUCCAUAUGUGUUCUCCCUUGCUUCUGGCUUUUGUUUUGUUUUUACGAUUUUUCCCACUAUGGUCUGAUGGAGUUCCAGAGUAUGACCUUGAAAACUGUUAAUUUCUCAAUUCUUGUCAGAAGAAAUCUCAGCAAGAGAAGCAGAAGUUUCCCUCUUCCUCCAAAUUGUAAUAAUACAGCUACUGUCCUGGGAGAGGCAACAGUCCUGGCAAGGGCUGUAUAAAGACUCCCAAAUUUGAGUGGUUGUUCCCAUACCUGAGAACGUACCUCUGACCGCUAAAUGCCGGGAAUUCUGAGGGGCUGCCUCUGCUCCUGUCCAGGGUCACAAUACUGAUGUGACCAUGUCCUCCGAGGGAAGAGUGUCUGGGCCUGUCUCGCAGUGGCUGGAGAGUUGUGGCUGGCCCUUCUCACAUCCCACACCUAAAAUAAACUGAUAACCCUGUAAGACUUCUUAUUG
RNA transcript from Herpailurus yagouaroundi (jaguarundi), 3054 nucleotides. It is a transcript of the gene named jumonji domain containing 4, with no coding region annotated. NCBI's taxonomy places the organism in Eukaryota, Metazoa, Chordata, Mammalia, Carnivora, Felidae. The record is from RefSeq and is a predicted model, not a curated record. The transcript has 7 exons.